ACAGUGAAGGGAUUAACGGGUUUCGGGUUUUCUAAACCCACAACCCGAAUCCGGUUAAAUUUAAAAAAAAAAAAAGGGUGAAGGGAUUAACAGGUUUCGGGUUAUUGGGCUUCGCCCCGCAACCCGAAACCCGAAUCCUUUUGACUAAACUGUGAGUUUUGCACAGAAACCCCUGACAAUAUGUUAUUCUGAACAAGGGAAUUCCGAAAUUCAUCUAUGGUCCCCAGCCGAAAGAUAAAUUACAGAAAGGUCCUAAAAUAUAUUUAUUUGAUCCCUGUACUUAGGAUUUAUUACAGAACAGUACACCGAUUAUUACAUAUUGGUCCCUGUAAUGAAUUUAUUACAUAAAUAAUCAAUUUAGAUUCUUUCUUAUGAUGAUACAUGAUUAUUU
RNAcentral lists this long non-coding RNA (391 nucleotides) under Phoenix dactylifera (date palm). Its description in RNAcentral is "long non-coding RNA (PDAC_LNC019436)". The record is from RNAcentral. Lineage: Eukaryota; Viridiplantae; Streptophyta; Magnoliopsida; Arecales; Arecaceae.